Molecule: ribosomal RNA, 381 nt
Filed under: uncultured eukaryote
Lineage: Eukaryota
Description: bacterial SSU rRNA
Rfam family: Eukaryotic small subunit ribosomal RNA
Source: RNAcentral
CAAUAGCGUAUAUUAAAGUUGUUGCAGUUAAAAGCUCGUAGUGUAAUUAGAGUGCCGGAGCGUCGGGUCCGACUUUAACUAGUUGUGCACUCAUUUCGCGUCCGGCCUUUCUCGCGGCGAACGUGCCUGGCAUUAGGUUGUCGGGUUCGGGAGCCGCGUCGUUUACUGUGAAAAAUUAGAGUGUUCAUAGCAGGCUUACGCCGUUGAAUACAUUAGCAUGGAAUAAUAAGAUAGGACUUUGGUGAUCUAUUUUGUUUGGUUUGGUCACACCAAGGUAAUGAUUAAUAGGGACGAUUGGGGGGUAGUUCGUAUUCAAUUGUCAGAGGUGAAAUUCUUGGAUUUAUGGAAGACGAACUACUGCGAAAGCAUUUACCAAGGAUG